ACGCCCCUACGGGACGCAGCAGUGGGGAAUAUUGCACAAUGGGGGAAACCCUGAUGCAGCGACGCCGCGUGAGUGAAGAAGUAUCUCGGUACGUAAAGCUCUAUCAGCAGGGAAGAAAAAAAGUCCUUUGGACUUUGGACGGUACCUGACCAAGAAGCCCCGGCUAACUACGUGCCAGCAGCCGCGGUAAUACGUAGGGGGCAAGCGUUAUCCGAAUUUACUGGGUGUAAAGGGAGCGUAGACGGCAGCGCAAGUCUGGAGUGAAAUGCCGGGGCCCAACCCCGGAACUGCUUUGGAAACUGUGC
This 305-nucleotide ribosomal RNA is filed under the name uncultured bacterium. Its description in RNAcentral is "bacterial SSU rRNA". It matches the Rfam family "Bacterial small subunit ribosomal RNA", at positions 333 to 638 of the family's 1533-position model. The record is from RNAcentral.